RNAcentral lists this ribosomal RNA (429 nucleotides) under Acidobacteriota bacterium. RNAcentral describes it as "Acidobacteria bacterium partial 16S ribosomal RNA". It matches the Rfam family "Bacterial small subunit ribosomal RNA", at positions 355 to 776 of the family's 1533-position model. Lineage: Bacteria; Pseudomonadati; Acidobacteriota. The record is from RNAcentral.
UGGGGAAUUUUGGACAAUGGGGGAAACCCUGAUCCAGCCAUCCCGCGUGUGCGAUGAAGGCCUUCGGGUUGUAAAGCACUUUUGGCAGGAAAGAAACGUCAUGGGUUAAUACCCCGUGAAACUGACGGUACCUGCAGAAUAAGCACCGGCUAACUACGUGCCAGCAGCCGCGGUAAUACGUAGGGUGCAAGCGUUAAUCGGAAUUACUGGGCGUAAAGCGUGCGCAGGCGGUUCGGAAAGAAAGAUGUGAAAUCCCAGAGCUCAACUUUGGAACUGCAUUUUUAACUACCGGGCUAGAGUGUGUCAGAGGGAGGGGGAAUUCCGCGUGUAGCAGUGAAAUGCGUAGAUAUGCGGAGGAACACCGAUGGCGAAGGCAGCCUCCUGGGAUAACACUGACGCUCAUGCACGAAAGCGUGGGGAGCAAACAGG